RNAcentral lists this ribosomal RNA (1243 nucleotides) under metagenome. Its description in RNAcentral is "bacterial LSU rRNA". It matches the Rfam family "Bacterial large subunit ribosomal RNA", at positions 1564 to 2816 of the family's 2925-position model. The record is from RNAcentral.
UGAAUACGAGACGCUAAGGCGUCGAAGUAGUGUAUGUCAUACUUCCAAGAAAAGCUUGCACUGUCAUAGAUAAAAAACGCCUGUACCAUAACCGACACAGGUGGGUAGGUAGAGUAUACUAAGGGGCGCGAGAUAACUCUCUCUAAGGAACUCGGCAAAAUAACUCCGUAACUUCGGGAGAAGGAGUGCCUUAUUCGUAAGGUUGCAAUAACAAGAUCCAAGCAACUGUUUAUCAAAAACACAGGUCUCCGCUAAGUCGUAAGACGAUGUAUGGGGGCUGACGCCUGCCCAGUGCCAGAAGGUUAAAGAAGUUGGUUAGCAAUUGCGAAGCUGAUAACUGAAGCCCUGGUGAACGGCGGCCGUAACGAUAACGGUCCUAAGGUAGCGAAAUUCCUUGUCGGGUAAGUUCCGACCCGCACGAAAGGCGUAAUGAUUUGGAUACUGUCUCGGAGAGGGGCUCGGUGAAAUAGACUUGUCUGUGAAGAUGCGGACUACCUGCACCAGGACAGAAAGACCCUAUGAAGCUUUACUGUAACUUGAAAUUGAAAUUGGACUUUAUUCGCGCAGUAUAGGUGGGAGGCGUUGAUUAUAAUCUUGUGGGAUUAUUGGAGCCAUCAGUGAGAUACCACUCUUGUAAUGUUAGAUUUCUAACUUUGAAUCAUUAUCUGGUCAAAGAACAGUUUCAGGCGGGCAGUUUGACUGGGGCGGUCGCCUCCUAAACGGUAACGGAGGCGUACAAAGGUUUCCUCUGAACGGUUAGAAAUCGUAUCUAGAGUGUAAAGGCAUAAGGAAGCUUGACUGUGAGACCUACAAGUCGAGCAGGGACGAAAGUCGGUCUUAGUGAUCUGACGGUACUGAGUGGAAAGGCCGUCACUCAACGGAUAAAAGUUACUCUAAGGAUAACAGGCUGAUCUCCCCCAAGAGUUCACAUCGACGGGGAGGUUUGGCACCUCGAUGUCGGCUCAUCGCAUCCUGGGGCGGUAGUACGUCCCAAGGGUUGGGCUGUUCGCCCAUGAAAGCGGUACGCGAGCUGGGUUCAGAACGUCGUGAGACAGUUCGGUCCAUAUCCGGUGUAGGCGUUAGAAUAUUGAGAGGAGCCUUCUUUAGUACGAGAGGACCGAGAAGGACAUACCUCUGGUGUACCAGUUAUCGUGCCAACGGUAAACGCUGGGUAGCUAUGUAUGGAGUGGAUAACCGCUGAAAGCAUCUAAGUGGGAAGCCCACCUCAAGAUAAGUAUUCUCA